This is a small nucleolar RNA of Cavia aperea (Brazilian guinea pig), 199 nucleotides long. Its record names the gene SNORA74. It matches the Rfam family "Small nucleolar RNA SNORA74". Rfam says of the family: U19 belongs to the H/ACA class of snoRNAs. snoRNAs bind a number of proteins (including dyskerin, Gar1p and Nop10p in the case of the H/ACA class) to form snoRNP complexes. This class are thought to guide the sites of modification of uridines to pseudouridines by forming direct base pairing interactions with substrate RNAs. NCBI's taxonomy places the organism in Eukaryota, Metazoa, Chordata, Mammalia, Rodentia, Caviidae. The record is from Ensembl.
UCCAGCAGUAGUCAGCCGUCUGGCAGCCCCGUUGCCGUGAUGGUGUUACACUGCUGGGAGAGCACUGCCGUGCCUUCUUUCUCUGGUGGCCCGUGUCGCUGUUCUGGUGCGCGUGGCUCUGGUGCAGGGCGCACUGCUUCCUGGAGAGUGUGCUAAGCAUUCACGUUGGCUGCUUGGCUCUAGUCUGGGAGCAGACAGU